This 869-nucleotide ribosomal RNA is filed under the name uncultured archaeon. Its description in RNAcentral is "bacterial SSU rRNA". It matches the Rfam family "Archaeal small subunit ribosomal RNA", at positions 1 to 878 of the family's 1478-position model. The record is from RNAcentral.
CUCCGGUUGAUCCUGCGGGACCCGACUGCUAUCAGAGUGGGACUAAGCCAUGCGAGUCAACAUAGCAAUAUGUGGCAUACGGCUCAGUAACACGUAGUCAACAUGCCCAGGGGACGUGGAUAACCUCGGGAAACUGAGGAUAAACCGCGAUAAGUCACUACUUCUGGAAUGGGUAAUGACUCAAAUCUACAUGGCCCCUGGAUUGGACUGCGGCCGAUCAGGCUGUUGGUGAGGUAAUGGCCCACCAAACCUGUAACCGGUACGGGCUCUGAGAGGAGGAGCCCGGAGAUGGGCACUGAGACAAGGGCCCAGGCCCUAUGGGGCGCAGCAGGCGCGAAACCUCUGCAAUAGGCGAAAGCCCGACAGGGUUACUCUGAGUGAUUUCCGUUAAGGAGAUCUUUUGGCACCUCUAAAAAUGGUGCAGAAUAAGGGGUGGGCAAGUCUGGUGUCAGCCGCCGCGGUAAUACCAGCACCCCGAGUGGUCGGGACGUUUAUUGGGCCUAAAGCAUCCGUAGCCGGUUCUACAAGUCUUCCGUUAAAUCCACCUGCUUAACAGAUGGGCUGCGGAAGAUACUAUAGAGCUAGGAGGCGGGAGAGGCAAGCGGUACUCGAUGGGUAGGGGUAAAAUCCGUUGAUCCAUUGAAGACCACCAGUGGCGAAGGCGGCUUGCCAGAACGCGCUCGACGGUGAGGGAUGAAAGCUGGGGGAGCAAACCGGAUUAGAUACCCGGGUAGUCCCAGCUGUAAACGAUGCAGACUCGGUGAUGAGUUGGCUUCUUGCCAACUCAGUGCCGCAGGGAAGCCGUUAAGUUUGCCGCCUGGGGAGUACGGUCGCAAGACUGAAACUUAAAGGAAAUUGGCGGGGGAGCA